This 492-nucleotide ribosomal RNA is filed under the name uncultured bacterium. Its description in RNAcentral is "partial 16S ribosomal RNA". It matches the Rfam family "Bacterial small subunit ribosomal RNA", at positions 29 to 507 of the family's 1533-position model. The record is from RNAcentral.
AGUGAACGCUGGCGGUAGGCCUAACACAUGCAAGUCGAACGGCAGCACAGUAAGAGCUUGCUCUUACGGGUGGCGAGUGGCGGACGGGUGAGGAAUACAUCGGAAUCUACUUUUUCGUGGGGGAUAACGUAGGGAAACUUACGCUAAUACCGCAUACGACCUACGGGUGAAAGCAGGGGAUCUUCGGACCUUGCGCGAUUGAAUGAGCCGAUGUCGGAUUAGCUAGUUGGCGGGGUAAAGGCCCACCAAGGCGACGAUCCGUAGCUGGUCUGAGAGGAUGAUCAGCCACACUGGAACUGAGACACGGUCCAGACUCCUACGGGAGGCAGCAGUGGGGAAUAUUGGACAAGGGGGGCAAGCCUGAUCCAGCCAUACCGCGUGGGUGAAGAAGGCCUUCGGGUUGUAAAGCCCUUUUGUUGGGAAAGAAAAGCAGCAGGUUAAUACCCCGCUGUUCUGACGGUACCCAAAGAAUAAGCACCGGCUAACUUCGUG